GAUGAACGCUGGCGGCGUGCCUAAUACAUGCAAGUCGAGCGAACGGACGAGAAGCUUGCUUUUCUGAUGUUAGCGGCGGACGGGUGAGUAACACGUGGAUAACCUACCUAUAAGACUGGGAUAACUUCGGGAAACCGGAGCUAAUACCGGAUAAUAUUUUGAACCGCAUGGUUCAAAAGUGAAAGACGGUCUUGCUGCCACUUAUAGAUGGAUCCGCGCUGCAUUAGCUAGUUGGUAAGGUAACGGCUUACCAAGGCAACGAUGCAUAGCCGACCUGAGAGGGUGAUCGGCCACACUGGAACUGAGACACGGUCCAGACUCCUACGGGAGGCAGCAGUAGGGAAUCUUCCGCAAUGGGCGAAAGCCUGACGGAGCAACGCCGCGUGAGUGAUGAAGGUCUUCGGAUCGUAAAACUCUGUUAUUAGGGAAGAACAUAUGUGUAAGUAACUGUGCACAUCUUGACGGUACCUAAUCAGAAAGCCACGGCUAACUACGUGCCAGCAGCCGCGGUAAUACGUAGGUGGCAAGCGUUAUCCGGAAUUAUUGGGCGUAAAGCGCGCGUAGGCGGUUUUUUAAGUCUGAUGUGAAAGCCCACGGCUCAACCGUGGAGGGUCAUUGGAAACUGGAAAACUUGAGUGCAGAAGAGGAAAGUGGAAUUCCAUGUGUAGCGGUGAAAUGCGCAGAGAUGUGGGGGAACACCAGUGGCGAAGGCGACUUUCUGGUCUGUAACUGACGCUGAUGUGCGAAAGCGUGGGGAUCAAACAGGAUUAGAUACCCUGGUAGUCCACGCCGUAAACGAUGAGUGCUAAGUGUUAGGGGGUUUCCGCCCCUUAGUGCUGCAGCUAACGCAUUAAGCACUCCGCCUGGGGAGUACGACCGCAAGGUUGAAACUCAAAGGAAUUGACGGGGGCCCGCACAAGCGGUGGAGCAUGUGGUUUAAUUCGAAGCAACGCGAAGAACCUUACCAAAUCUUGACAUCCUUUGACAACUCUAGAGAUAGAGCCUUCCCCUUCGGGGGACAAAGUGACAGGUGGUGCAUGGUUGUCGUCAGCUCGUGUCGUGAGAUGUUGGGUUAAGUCCCGCAACGAGCGCAACCCUUAAGCUUAGUUGCCAUCAUUAAGUUGGGCACUCUAAGUUGACUGCCGGUGACAAACCGGAGGAAGGUGGGGAUGACGUCAAAUCAUCAUGCCCCUUAUGAUUUGGGCUACACACGUGCUACAAUGGACAAUACAAAGGGCAGCGAAACCGCGAGGUCAAGCAAAUCCCAUAAAGUUGUUCUCAGUUCGGAUUGUAGUCUGCAACUCGACUACAUGAAGCUGGAAUCGCUAGUAAUCGUAGAUCAGCAUGCUACGGUGAAUACGUUCCCGGGUCU
RNAcentral lists this ribosomal RNA (1372 nucleotides) under uncultured bacterium. RNAcentral's name for it is "bacterial SSU rRNA". It matches the Rfam family "Bacterial small subunit ribosomal RNA", at positions 28 to 1381 of the family's 1533-position model. The record is from RNAcentral.